RNAcentral lists this ribosomal RNA (253 nucleotides) under uncultured bacterium. Its description in RNAcentral is "partial 16S ribosomal RNA". It matches the Rfam family "Bacterial small subunit ribosomal RNA", at positions 524 to 776 of the family's 1533-position model. The record is from RNAcentral.
UACAGAGGAGCCAAGCGUUGUCCGGAUUGACUGGGCGUAAAGCGCACGCAGGCGGUUGCGCGCGUGGGGUGUGAAAUCUGGCCGCUUAACGGCCAGGCGCCAUCCCAUACGGCGCGACUGGAGUGAUGCAGAGGUCGAUGGAAUUGCCGGUGUAGUGGUGAAAUGCGUAGAGAUCAGGAAGAACAUCGGUGGCGAAGGCGCUCUGCUGGACCAUAACUGACACUCAGGGACGAAAGCUAGGGGAGCGAAUGGG